GACGAACGCUGGCGGCGUGCUUAACACAUGCAAGUCGAACGGAAAGGCCCUGCUUGCAGGGUACUCGAGUGGCGAACGGGUGAGUAACACGUGGGUGAUCUGCCCUGCACUUCGGGAUAAGCCUGGGAAACUGGGUCUAAUACCGGAUAGGAGCCAUUUUUAGUGUGAUGGUUGGAAAGUUUUUUCGGUGUAGGAUGAGCUCGCGGCCUAUCAGCUUGUUGGUGGGGUAAUGGCCUACCAAGGCGGCGACGGGUAGCCGGCCUGAGAGGGUGGACGGCCACAUUGGGACUGAGAUACGGCCCAGACUCCUACGGGAGGCAGCAGUGGGGAAUAAUGCACAAUGGGCGCAAGCCUGAUGCAGCGACGCCGCGUGGGGGAUGACGGCCUUCGGGUUGUAAACUCCUUUCGCUAGGGACGAAGCUUUUUGUGACGGUACCUAGAUAAGAAGCACCGGCUAACUACGU
Molecule: ribosomal RNA, 464 nt
Filed under: uncultured bacterium
Lineage: Bacteria
Description: partial 16S ribosomal RNA
Rfam family: Bacterial small subunit ribosomal RNA
Source: RNAcentral